Long non-coding RNA from Eriocheir sinensis (Chinese mitten crab), 567 nucleotides. RefSeq lists it as uncharacterized. The transcript is spliced from 3 exons. The record is from RefSeq and is a predicted model, not a curated record. NCBI's taxonomy places the organism in Eukaryota, Metazoa, Arthropoda, Malacostraca, Decapoda, Varunidae.
AGUAAGUUUAAUUGGUCGCCAGAUGAAACGGUCUUCUUACAUCAAAAUCAUGAAAAAAUACGUAUAAUCAGAGGGUGUUAUGGGAAGAGUAUCACCCCUGAGGAUAAGAAGAGAGCGUGGACUGAAGUGGCAGAAGCUGUAACAAGUGCCUUCCCUGGGAGUGGACCCCGUACGCAGGAUGACUGUGAGAGGCGUUGGUACAACGUACAACAAAAAUCAAAGCCUCGCAUUGCCAAGUGCAAGAAUGAGCAGCGGCAGACUGCCCCGCUGCUGUAUUGCUAGAGACCAUCCCAGCACAUUGUUCAUUACUUGUGGUAAAGAUACCAUCAGCUGCUCUGGCAACAGCCACUGCUUCAACAUCUGCUGGCCCUAUGACACCAGCCACUGCUUCAUCAUCUGCUGGCCCAAUGACACCUGCCACUGCAAGGGAUGACAAUGAAGCUGUUCCACCACAGUCACCACCUACUUCAUCGGAGUUAAGAGAUGCCUUUCAUAGGGCAGCAGUAUAAUUUUUUGAUGCUGGGGCUGAAUAUUACUGUCUCAAGGCUAUGAUUUUGUCACUUUUUU